UACGGAGGGUGCAAGCGUUACUCGGAAUCACUGGGCGUAAAGAGCGCGUAGGCGGGAUAGCAAGUCAGAUGUGAAAUCCUAUGGCUUAACCAUAGAACUGCAUUUGAAACUGUUAUUCUAGAGUAUGGGAGAGGUAGGUGGAAUUCUUGGUGUAGGGGUAAAAUCCGUAGAUAUCUGGAGGAACAUCAGUGGCGAAGGCGGCCACCUGGACCGGUAUUGACGCUGAGGCGCGAAAGCGUGGGGAGCAAACAGG
RNAcentral lists this ribosomal RNA (253 nucleotides) under uncultured Helicobacteraceae bacterium. Its description in RNAcentral is "partial 16S ribosomal RNA". It matches the Rfam family "Bacterial small subunit ribosomal RNA", at positions 524 to 776 of the family's 1533-position model. Lineage: Bacteria; Pseudomonadati; Campylobacterota; Epsilonproteobacteria; Campylobacterales; Helicobacteraceae. The record is from RNAcentral.